Molecule: ribosomal RNA, 497 nt
Filed under: uncultured bacterium
Lineage: Bacteria
Description: partial 16S ribosomal RNA
Rfam family: Bacterial small subunit ribosomal RNA
Source: RNAcentral
GAUGAACGCUGGCGGCGUGCCUAAUACAUGCAAGUCGAGCGAACAGACGAGGAGCUUGCUCCUUCGACGUUAGCGGCGGACGGGUGAGUAACACGUAGGUAACCUACCUAUAAGACUGGGAUAACUUCGGGAAACCGGAGCUAAUACCGGAUAAUAUUUCGAACCGCAUGGUUCGAUAGUGAAAGAUGGCUUUGCUAUCACUUAUAGAUGGACCUGCGCCGUAUUAGCUAGUUGGUAAGGUAACGGCCUACCAAGGCAACGAUACGUAGCCGACCUGAGAGGGUGAUCGGCCACACUGGAACUGAGACACGGUCCAGACUCCUACGGGAGGCAGCAGUAGGGAAUCUUCCGCAAUGGGCGAAAGCCUGACGGAGCAACGCUGCGUGAGUGAUGAAGGUCUUCGGAUCGUAAAACUCUGUUAUUAGGGAAGAACAAACGUGUAAGUAACUGUGCACGUCUUGACGGUACCUAAUCAGAAAGCCACGGCUAACUACGUG